UCUGAAAUAGAGUCGAGUCCGGCUUAUGUCACGUGACCUAUAUAGAGAUUUAUCUAGUCAUAUCUUGCCAAUGUAUACAGUGAUUGCUGGAUAAAUAUAUAUACCGUUACACCUUUUGUUACAACUUAAAGUUUCACACUAUGAGCGAUCAUCAGGUGACGUAACGACAGGGCAGUUACGUUACGUCACAACAGGCGCAGUGGGUACGGGCAAUUCCUUUUCGGCUUAGCUUUGGUGGCUGUGUUAAUCCAUUUGGGUCGAUUGAAAGGUCAUCAGGACACACGGCAGCCUUGAUUUUAGUUAAAGCUACUGAUGAACACCUAUGGUAAAGUCGAAGUGAUCACACUAGGGUGGGGGAGGCAAUUGCUGCCCCUGACCUUCUCUCUCGUACGCUUAUUCUACCAGUGACACGGUGCUCUAGCUGAACUCUCUAUAAGUAGGCUGCACGCUUUCCUGUAUAAACAUUAAAACACAGAAAAACUAAAGUAUUAGUACUUUUGUAACCUGCAAGUUAAAGUGCUUGUGGUGACAUCUGGAUUAAACGGUUAAGCUGUAUUUAUAAACUUAUUUCUUGUUGUUUUCAUUUCUCCGAUACAUUUUAGUGAACUAUCUGGAUGUUACGUCGCUUAGAAACUAGUUUGA
This is a long non-coding RNA of Gigantopelta aegis, 642 nucleotides long. RefSeq lists it as uncharacterized. NCBI's taxonomy places the organism in Eukaryota, Metazoa, Mollusca, Gastropoda, Neomphalida, Peltospiridae. The record is from RefSeq and is a predicted model, not a curated record. The transcript has 3 exons.